This is a long non-coding RNA of Passer domesticus (house sparrow), 302 nucleotides long. RefSeq lists it as uncharacterized. The transcript has 3 exons. Lineage: Eukaryota; Metazoa; Chordata; Aves; Passeriformes; Passeridae. The record is from RefSeq and is a predicted model, not a curated record.
AGCCCGCGCCGGGCCUUCCCUCCCAGCGCUCCCCGCAGCUGUUGCAGGACCUGAGCCCAGCGGCCGAGCACCUGCGCUGCUCCCUGCCGCGCCUGCAGAGCCCGCAGAGGCCCCUGCGAGAGGCGGCCUUCAGCAUCAUCGGGGUGGCCGGAGCUCAUGACGGGGCAGAAGGAGGAGCUCCAGGUCCUCGCUGAGGUUCCUGAAGCCGUCAGGGAAGAUCAGAGCCCAUCCUGCAGGAGCACACUGAUCCAGGUUGCAUUGGGAAGAAGAUCUGAGCGACUUUCUCUGCUGGAUCAGAUAGA